GACUCUGCUUCGACUUCUAGACUUUUCCACCUUUCCUUUUCACUUCUGUCUCUUUCACAAUUCUCGGCUUAUGUCGGUCUGAAUCCUAGAUUUCUUUCACUCCCAAACGUUGAGGUUCGUGACUUCGCCGUUGAUUUGAACCCCACCAGCUUCGAUUCCUUGGAGACACCCCUGCCACCUUUGCCGUAGUCGAAUUCUUCGCUCACUGAUAUUAGAUCGAUUGGAGGCUACCCAUUUGAAAAAGAAGAGAGAUCACAUGGAUGAUGGAUCAUAUGAGGUUCUCCAAUUAUUUGAGAUCACAUGGAAAUAUUUAAUUCCGUAUUUGUAAUUCUUUAUUGUUUCAUUCAGUUCGUUAAAUUCAUUUAAUUGUCUUUGUAAUUCUCAGAAAACUAGAGAGGCCAGCCGGCCCUAACUUCCUUCUCUUUUGGUUAAUCCUGUGAAUUGGAGAUCGGAUCUCGCUGUUCUCUCUCUCUCAUUUGGGUUUUAUGCAUUGCCAUGGUGGUGGGAAGAUUAUGGAGAAGCUUUGAAAAACAGAGAGAGGAAAUGAGCUUUAAACAGAUUAUUGUCAAAGCAGUAUAUAUAAGUUACAAAGUGCUCUUGCUGAAAUAGAAAAGAAAAAAAAAAAAAAAA
Long non-coding RNA from Pyrus x bretschneideri (Chinese white pear), 630 nucleotides. RefSeq lists it as uncharacterized. NCBI's taxonomy places the organism in Eukaryota, Viridiplantae, Streptophyta, Magnoliopsida, Rosales, Rosaceae. The record is from RefSeq and is a predicted model, not a curated record. The transcript has 3 exons.